CGCGAAUCAUCGAGUCUUUGAACGCAANUUNCGCCCGAGGCUUGNCCAAGGGCAUCCCUGCCAGAGCGUCAUU
RNAcentral lists this ribosomal RNA (73 nucleotides) under Dicranoloma robustum. RNAcentral's name for it is "partial 5.8S ribosomal RNA". The record is from RNAcentral. Lineage: Eukaryota; Viridiplantae; Streptophyta; Bryopsida; Dicranales; Dicranaceae.